Molecule: non-coding RNA, 1228 nt
Organism: Jatropha curcas
Lineage: Eukaryota; Viridiplantae; Streptophyta; Magnoliopsida; Malpighiales; Euphorbiaceae
Source: RefSeq, a predicted model, not a curated record
UUUAUACCUUUUGGAGUUUCUGUUUUAAAAAAUUGUCCAAUAAAUCCCAAUAAUAAUAGUAAGCUAAGCGGACAGAGGAAUAAUCUAGAAGGCUAGAACCCUCUCAUCUUGCCUCCCAUUUCGAUCGAUCCCACAGGAGAAAAACUCCUAGUCGUGCUUCGAAAUCGAUGUCGAUCCCGCCAUCUUCAACGUCGGCCUCUUCAGCUUCGCAAUUCACAUACACGACAACGACGCCAACAGCAAAUGGUUCGUAUUUCCCAAUGCCCUUUCACCUCCAGCAAUCGGUCCAAACUUACGCGGCUCCGCCGGCGGUCCUACCGGCAGUAGCGCCUGUUUACCCCGCCCCUGUCGGACCCGUCUAUUCUCUUCCUCAAUAUCAGCAGGCACAGCAGUUGUUUCAAAGGGAUGCACAAACGAUUACCCCUGAAGCUCUUGAAAGUGUGAAAGCAGCCCUUGCCAGUAGUGAGAUUGAGCACAAACAAGAAACCAAAAAGAAAGCAGUUCCUCGAAAAGCUGCUGGCCAGACUUGGGAGGACCCAACGCUUGCCGAGUGGCCUGAAAAUGAUUAUCGACUUUUUUGUGGUGAUCUUGGUAAUGAGGUGAAUGACGAUGUUCUUUCAAAAGCAUUUUCCAGGUUUCCUUCCUUUAACAUGGCCAGAGUCGUCAGAGAUAAGCGAACUGGCAAAACCAAGGGCUAUGGAUUUGUUAGCUUUUCCAAUCCUACUGACCUUGCAGCAGCACUUAAGGAGAUGAAUGGUAAAUAUGUUGGAAAUAGGCCCAUUAAGCUGCGGAAGAGCAAUUGGAGGGAAAGGACAGACUUUGAAGCUUUAGAAAGACAAAAGAACCACAACUUGAAGAAACCGAAGCUUCCUAAGAAGAGUAUACUGCACAAGUAAGACAUAGAAUGACCAUUCCUAUGCUGUCACCAAAAGGUCCAACGGAGCAGCAUUCUCAGAUGGUUGUCAUUUUAAUUUCCUUUAUUUGUGUCCUUCGCCGGUUGAUGCUAAGCCAAGCAGAUGUAGAGUUAUGGGAUUGUAUGUGCCAUUUUAAGUAAAUUACACCUUUUUAAAGCUUCCUGCUCUUUUACUUUGCAUUUUGUGUGGGUGAGGGAGGAAACUGGCUUUUGGUUUUGGGUUGCUGUAUUUUUGCCUUCUUCAAGCUGAAGCACAUUUCAACCUUUCUUAAGGUUUCCAAACGGCUGGUUCCUAAUUCACACCCUUUCUGUCAA